GCCCGGAUGGCGGAAUUGGUAGACGCGCUGGUCUCAAACACCAGUAGGUUCACCCCUGUGCCGGUUCGAUCCCGGCUCCGGGUACAA
This 87-nucleotide transfer RNA is filed under the name Bacteroidetes bacterium GWA2_30_7. RNAcentral's name for it is "tRNA-Leu". It matches the Rfam family "tRNA". From Rfam's summary of the family: Transfer RNA (tRNA) molecules are approximately 80 nucleotides in length. Their secondary structure includes four short double-helical elements and three loops (D, anti-codon, and T loops). The record is from RNAcentral. Lineage: Bacteria; Pseudomonadati; Bacteroidota.